Molecule: transfer RNA, 76 nt
Filed under: Labilithrix sp.
Lineage: Bacteria; Pseudomonadati; Myxococcota; Polyangiales; Labilitrichaceae
Description: tRNA-Phe
Rfam family: tRNA
About the family: Transfer RNA (tRNA) molecules are approximately 80 nucleotides in length. Their secondary structure includes four short double-helical elements and three loops (D, anti-codon, and T loops). Further hydrogen bonds mediate the characteristic L-shaped molecular structure. tRNAs have two regions of fundamental functional importance: the anti-codon, which is responsible for specific mRNA codon recognition, and the 3' end, to which the tRNAs corresponding amino acid is attached (by aminoacyl-tRNA synthetases). tRNAs cope with the degeneracy of the genetic code in two manners: having more than one tRNA (with a specific anti-codon) for a particular amino acid; and 'wobble' base-pairing, i.e. permitting non-standard base-pairing at the 3rd anti-codon position.
Source: RNAcentral
GGGCUGUGAGCUGGUCGCAGGAUAGCGUCUGCCUGAAGAGCAGAAGAACGUGGUGCAAGCCCACGACAGCCCACCA